AGCAGCCGCGGUAAUUCCAGCUCCAAUAGCGUAUAUUAAAGUUGUUGCAGUUAAAAAGCUCGUAGUUGAAUUUCGGGAUCAAAUUGUUGGUCGUGCUUCGGUACGCACUGGCAUUAUUGGUUUCUACCUUCUGAAGAACCGCGAUGUCAUUAAUUUGGUGUCGUGGGGAAUCAGGACUGUUACUUUGAAAAAAUUAGAGUGUUUAAAGCAGGCGCACGCUUGAAUACAUUAGCAUGGAAUAAUGAAAUAGGACGUUUGAUUCUAUUUUGUUGGUUUCUAGGAUCGACGUAAUGAUUAAUAGGGAUAGUUGGGGGCAUCAGUAUUCAAUUGUCAGAGGUGAAAUUCUUGGAUUUAUUGAAGACUAACUACUGCGAAAGCAUUUGCCAAGGAUGUUUUCAUUAAUCAAGAACGAAAGUUAGGGGAUCGAAGACGAUCAGAUACCGUCGUAGUCUUAACCAUAAACUAUGCCGACUAGGAAUCGGGCGAUGUUGAAAAAAUGACGC
This 503-nucleotide ribosomal RNA is filed under the name uncultured Glomeromycotina. Its description in RNAcentral is "SSU rRNA". It matches the Rfam family "Eukaryotic small subunit ribosomal RNA", at positions 569 to 1077 of the family's 1831-position model. Lineage: Eukaryota; Fungi; Glomeromycota. The record is from RNAcentral.